RNAcentral lists this RNase P RNA (346 nucleotides) under Clostridiales bacterium. RNAcentral describes it as "RNase P RNA component class A". It matches the Rfam family "Bacterial RNase P class A". Rfam says of the family: Ribonuclease P (RNase P) is a ubiquitous endoribonuclease, found in archaea, bacteria and eukarya as well as chloroplasts and mitochondria. The record is from RNAcentral. Lineage: Bacteria; Bacillati; Bacillota; Clostridia; Eubacteriales.
UGAGUAAGCUGAAUGAUCGCAAUUAUUUUAAUAAUUGAGGAAAGUCCGAGCUCCGUAGGGCAGGGUGCUGGGUAACUCCCAGUGGAGGUGACUCCAAGGAUAGUGCAACAGAGAGAUACCGCCUGCACAUACUUUUGCAGGUAAGGGUGGAAAGGUGAGGUAAGAGCUCACCAGCAUUCAGGCGACUGGAUAGGCUAUGUAAACCCCAUCUGGAGCAAGACUGAAAAGGACUAGAAUACGGUUGCCCGCCGUGUCCAGGUAAAGGUCGCUGGAGCCUACUGGCAACAGUAGUGCCUAGAUAGAUGAUCAUUCAUGACAGAACUCGGCUUACAGGCUUGCUCACAAU